Long non-coding RNA from Ochotona princeps (American pika), 275 nucleotides. RefSeq lists it as uncharacterized. The record is from RefSeq and is a predicted model, not a curated record. The transcript is spliced from 3 exons. Lineage: Eukaryota; Metazoa; Chordata; Mammalia; Lagomorpha; Ochotonidae.
CCCCUUCUUGCUGUGUGUCCCGGGCCCAGUGAGCAGGGCUGCGGUGUCUCUGGAGGAGUCCCUUGGCUUGCGGCGAAGGGAGGCUGUGAAGGCCUGUGCCCGUGGUCUGCAGUGACAUGGGGACGCCCGGCAGGGGUUGCGGGGAGCCGGCCACUUGUGCUGGAGGCUGGAAGGACCAUGGAGCCGAGCAGAUGGCCGCACCUGCUGCCUUGUGCUUCGCUGUAGAGUUCUUGAAGGCUCCUUCUGGAACCAGAGAAGACAGCUGUCUGCAGUCC